UCCCUACAGGGACACCUGAGAGGGCCCAGCCUCCUCCUCCUCAGGACCCACUCGGGAGACGCCGCUGGCUCUCUAGGAACACCUGGGGACCGUGGCCAGGGACGACCCAGCCUCCUUCUCCUCAGCUCCUCAGGAACGACUGGGGAAGCUGUGGCUUCAUGGUCCCCGAGGCUGCCCGAGGAAAGGUAUUUCAGGACAGCCAGGAGGGGGCGCACAUCCGCCGCGAAACUGUGAGCAAGAGCGUCUGUGCUGAACCAUGGCGCCACCAGAGGGCGCGCGAUCCCGCCCCAACCAACUUCCCGCUGAAGUGCCAGAAGCAGCGAGGAGCUUCAACUUCCUCAGGGCAGCACGGGGGUCGUGUUAAUUUGGUGUUCUUCAUUGAUUCCCCAACAGUUAUUGCUGUACCAGAUUUGCAGUGUCCCACAAAAUACUCCGGUAUAUUGUACUGAAAGCAUGGACACUCUCCCAGAUGAUGAUUAUUCCCCACCUUCUAAGAGACAAAGACCAACGAGCCACCACAGCCACCAGUCCCAGAACCUGCCAAUGCUGGGGAACGGAAAAUGAGGGAGUUC
Molecule: long non-coding RNA, 572 nt
Filed under: Homo sapiens (human)
Lineage: Eukaryota; Metazoa; Chordata; Mammalia; Primates; Hominidae
Description: novel transcript
Source: RNAcentral